Molecule: ribosomal RNA, 237 nt
Filed under: Stygamoeba regulata
Lineage: Eukaryota; Discosea; Stygamoebida
Description: partial Bacterial large subunit ribosomal RNA
Rfam family: Bacterial large subunit ribosomal RNA
Source: RNAcentral
GAAAUCUAUUUAGGUAGAGCGUCAGACGAAUACCUUCGGGGGUAGAGCACUGAAUGGGCUAGGGGGCCUCACCGGCUUACCAAACCUAAUCAAACUCCGAAUACCGAAGAGUACUAUCUGGCAGACAGACUACGGGUGCUAAGGUCCGUGGUCGAGAGGGAAACAGCCCAGACCGCCAGUUAAGGUCCCAAAGUUGUGGCUAAGUGGGAAAGGAUGUAGGGAUCCCAAAACAACCAG